GAGCCCGUAGCUCAGUUGGUAGAGCAACUGACUUUUAAUCAGUUGGCCGCGCGUUCGAGUCGCGCCGGGCUCACCA
This 76-nucleotide transfer RNA is filed under the name Rubellimicrobium sp. RNAcentral describes it as "tRNA-Lys". It matches the Rfam family "tRNA". Rfam says of the family: Transfer RNA (tRNA) molecules are approximately 80 nucleotides in length. Their secondary structure includes four short double-helical elements and three loops (D, anti-codon, and T loops). Lineage: Bacteria; Pseudomonadati; Pseudomonadota; Alphaproteobacteria; Rhodobacterales; Roseobacteraceae. The record is from RNAcentral.